UUGCCCACUGAUAAAAAUUUAAGGGCCGCAGUAAUUUGACCGUGCAAAGGUAGCAUAAUAGUUAGUUUUUUAAUUGGAAUCUUGUAUGAAUGAUUGGACAAAAGAAAGCCUGUCUCUAACUUUUUAUCCGAAUUUAACUUUUGAGUGAAAAGGCUCAAAUAAUUUAAAAAGACGAUAAGACCCUAUAAAGCUUGAUGAAUUAAUAUUAUUCGAUUGAAUUAGUAAUAAAAAUUGAGUGAUUGGAUUUAUUAUGUUGGGGCGACAAUAGUAAAAUGAUUAUUAACUGCUAAAAUUUAAAACAAUUAUAUAGGUGAAUAAGCUUAAAUGAUCCUAAAUAAAGAUUAAAAGUUUAAGUUACUUUAGGGAUAACAGCGUUAUUUUCCUUGAGAGUUCUUAUCGAAAGGAAAGUUUGCGACCUCGAUGUUGAAUUAAAAUUCCCGUUCAAUUGCAGAAGU
This 455-nucleotide ribosomal RNA is filed under the name Uca intermedia. RNAcentral describes it as "partial 16S ribosomal RNA". It matches the Rfam family "Bacterial large subunit ribosomal RNA", at positions 1859 to 2562 of the family's 2925-position model. The record is from RNAcentral. Lineage: Eukaryota; Metazoa; Arthropoda; Malacostraca; Decapoda; Ocypodidae.